This 472-nucleotide ribosomal RNA is filed under the name Pseudomonas sp. R9.46. RNAcentral's name for it is "bacterial SSU rRNA". It matches the Rfam family "Bacterial small subunit ribosomal RNA", at positions 35 to 513 of the family's 1533-position model. Lineage: Bacteria; Pseudomonadati; Pseudomonadota; Gammaproteobacteria; Pseudomonadales; Pseudomonadaceae. The record is from RNAcentral.
CNNCGUCCUCAGCCANCCUGGCNNGUCGGCGGCAGCCGAGACUUGACCUAGGGCGGCGGGGAGGGUGAUAACCCUAGGAAUUGCCUGGUAGUGGGGGUUAACGCUCGGAAACGGACGCUAAUACCGCAUACGUCCUACGGGAGAAAGCAGGGGACCUUCGGGCCUUGCGCUAUCAGAUGAGCCUAGGUCGGAUUAGCUAGUUGGUGAGGUAAUGGCUCACCAAGGCGACGAUCCGUAACUGGUCUGAGAGGAUGAUCAGUCACACUGGAACUGAGACACGGUCCAGACUCCUACGGGAGGCAGCAGUGGGGAAUAUUGGACAAUGGGCGAAAGCCUGAUCCAGCCAUGCCGCGUGUGUGAAGAAGGUCUUCGGAUUGUAAAGCACUUUAAGUUGGGAGGAAGGGCAGUUACCUAAUACGUGAUUGUUUUGACGUUACCGACAGAAUAAGCACCGGCUAACUCUGUGCCAGCA